AUUGAACGCUGGCGGCAUGCUUGACACAUGCAAGUCGAACGGCAACAGGCCUUCGGGUGCUGAUGAGUGGAGGACGGGCGAGUAAUGCAUCGGAACGCACCCAGAGGUGGGGGAUAACGCAGCGAAAGCUGUGCUAAUACCACAUGUUAUCUGAGGAUGACAGCGGGGGACCGAGCAGCAAAGUUUGGCCUCGCGCGAUUGAAGCGGCCGAUGUCGGAUUAGCUAGUUGGUGGGGCAAAGGCCUACCAAGGCGACGAUCCGUAGCCGGUCUGAGAGGACGACCCGCCCCACUGGAACUGAGACACGGCCCAGACUCCUACGGGAGGCAGCAGUGGGGAAUUUUGGACAAUGGGCGCAAGCCUGAUCCAGCCAUGCCGCGUGCGGGAAGAAGGCCUUCGGGUUGUAAACCGCUUUUGGCAGGAACGAAACGGUGUCCGCUAAUACCGGGCGCUACUGACGGUACCUGCAGAAUAAGCACCGGCUAACUUCGUG
This 492-nucleotide ribosomal RNA is filed under the name uncultured bacterium. Its description in RNAcentral is "partial 16S ribosomal RNA". It matches the Rfam family "Bacterial small subunit ribosomal RNA", at positions 29 to 507 of the family's 1533-position model. The record is from RNAcentral.